This 75-nucleotide transfer RNA is filed under the name Tolypothrix sp. PCC 7601. RNAcentral's name for it is "tRNA-Cys". It matches the Rfam family "tRNA". Rfam says of the family: Transfer RNA (tRNA) molecules are approximately 80 nucleotides in length. The record is from RNAcentral. RNAcentral also lists the same sequence under 2 other names. Lineage: Bacteria; Bacillati; Cyanobacteriota; Cyanophyceae; Nostocales; Tolypothrichaceae.
GUCCAGGUCGCCAAGUGUUUAAGGCAUCGGCUUGCAACACCGACUGCUUCGUGGGUUGAAAUCCCACCCUGGACU